CAAAACGUCCCCUCCACAUUUGGUGAAAUAGG
Molecule: non-coding RNA, 32 nt
Filed under: Homo sapiens (human)
Lineage: Eukaryota; Metazoa; Chordata; Mammalia; Primates; Hominidae
Source: RNAcentral